RNAcentral lists this ribosomal RNA (326 nucleotides) under Mesofila sp. RNAcentral's name for it is "SSU rRNA". The stretch from base 114 to 326 matches the Rfam family "Eukaryotic small subunit ribosomal RNA", at positions 742 to 955 of the family's 1831-position model. Lineage: Eukaryota; Cercozoa; Mesofilidae. RNAcentral also lists the same sequence under 1 other name. The record is from RNAcentral.
GAUUUCUGGCGUGGUGCCUCUCGUCCGCCGGCUUAGGCCGCGUGAGUACGGGGGUUUUGUGCCUGCCAUCCUUCCGGGGAGCGCGUCUGCCCUUCACUGGGUCGGGCGCGCGGCCUGGAUCGUUUACUUUGAAAAAAUUAGAGUGUUUAAAGCAGGCGAUUGCCUCUGAAUACAUUAGCAUGGAAUAAUAAAAUAGGACUUUGGUUCUAUUUUGUUGGCUUCUAGAACUGAAGUAAUGAUUGAUAGGGACAGUUGGGGGUGCUAGUAUUCGACGGCCAGAGGUGAAAUUCUUGGAUUCGUUGAAGACUAACUAAUGCGAAAGCAUU